RNAcentral lists this RNase P RNA (389 nucleotides) under Erythrobacteraceae bacterium. RNAcentral's name for it is "RNase P RNA component class A". It matches the Rfam family "Bacterial RNase P class A". Rfam says of the family: Ribonuclease P (RNase P) is a ubiquitous endoribonuclease, found in archaea, bacteria and eukarya as well as chloroplasts and mitochondria. Lineage: Bacteria; Pseudomonadati; Pseudomonadota; Alphaproteobacteria; Sphingomonadales; Erythrobacteraceae. The record is from RNAcentral.
GGAGUCGGCCGGGCGAUCGCGGCUUCGUUCCUGCAGUCACCGGAAUACGGUGUUUAGCGGUGCGUAGCGGAGGAAAGUCCGGGCUCCACAGGGCAGGGUGCCAGAUAACGUCUGGGCGGCGCGAGCCGACGACCAGUGCAGCAGAGAGUAAACCGCCUAAGCGCUUCGGCGCCGGUAAGGGUGAAAGGGUGCGGUAAGAGCGCACCGCGCAACUGGCAACAGUUUGUGGCACGGUAAACUCCACCCGGAGCAAGACCAAAUAGGCCUCCAAUACGUGCGGCCCGCACGGGAGGCGGGUAGGUUGCUUGAGCCAGUGAGCGAUUGCUGGCCUAGAGGAAUGAUUGCCACUCGUAAGAGAACAGAACCCGGCUUAUGGCCCAACUCCACCU